Plasmopara halstedii is the source of this 1310-nucleotide ribosomal RNA. It matches the Rfam family "Eukaryotic small subunit ribosomal RNA". NCBI's taxonomy places the organism in Eukaryota, Oomycota, Peronosporomycetes, Peronosporales, Peronosporaceae. The record is from Rfam.
AUACAGAUGGGGUCUGAACACUGUCGCAAGGGUGGCCUUUUCUUGUGCACGUGUGCGGGAGAAGGCAAAUUGAGAACUGGAGGGCAAGGCUGAUGCCAGCAGCCGCGGUAAUUCCAGCUCCAAUAGCGUAUAUUAAAGUUGUUGCAGUUAAAAAGCUCGUAGUUGGAUUUCUGUUUUGGAUGUCCGGUCCGCUUCCUUUAGAAGUGUGUACUUAUGGAUGUUCGAAGCAUUUUUUGUGAGGCUGCCUUUCUGCCAUUAUGUUGGUGGGCUGGUGGGCUUGCAUCCUUUACUGCGAAAAAAAUAUAGUGUUUGAAGCGGGCUUAGUUCAUUUGAAUACAUGGAAUAACAAGAUAUGACUUUGGUUUGCACAUCAGAGUAAUGAUUGAUAGGGGCAGUUGGGGUUACUUAUAUUUCAGCGUCAGAGGUGAAAUUCUUGGAUCGCUGAAAGAUGAGCUUUGGCGAAAGCAUUUACCAAGGAUGCUUUCAUUAAUCCAGAACUAAAGUUAGGGGAUCGAAGAUGAUUAGAUACCAUCGUAGUCAUAAUCAUAAACUAUGUCGACUCGAGAUUGGCAGUCGUUUACUUUAAAUGACCUUGUCAGCACUGUAUGAGAAUUCAAAGUCUUUGGGUUCCGGGGGGAGUAUGAUCGCAAGGCUGAAACUUAAAGGAACUGACGGAAGCACACCACCAGAAGUGGAGCCUGCGACUUAAUUUGAAUCAACACGGAGAGCUUACCAGGUCCAGACAGUAAGAAAUUGACAGGUUUAGAGCUCUUUCUUGAUUCUAUUGGUGGUGGUGCAUGACCGUUCUUAGUUGGUGGUGGUGCAUGACCGUUCUUAGUUGGUGGAGUGAUUUGUCUGCUUAAUUCCGUUAGCAAAGAGAACUUCGCGUGCUAAAUAGUUUUGCUUACCAUUUUUGGUAGAUUGAGGACUUCUAAGAGGGACUUUUGAGUAAUCAAACCAAAGAAAGCUGUAGGCAAUGAUAGGUGUGGAUAUCCUUAGAUGUACUGGGCCGCACGCGCGCUACACUGAUGCGUUCAACGAGUAUACCACCUUGAUCGAUAGGUCUGGGUAAUCUUGUGAACGCGUAUCGCGCUAGGGAUAGACUGUUGCAGUCUUGAACGAGGAAUUCCUAAGAAUUGCAAGUCAUCAGCUUGCGUUGUUUGUUCGCACCGCCCGUUGCACCUACCGAUUGAAUGACUCGGUGAAAAAUUGGGACCGUGAGUUCGCUUGCUUUAUUGUGAAUGACUGGUGGGAACUUUUUAAACCUCGUNNNNNNNNNNGCUGGACGAGAUGUCCCUUGAAGAGUUUGG